Molecule: transfer RNA, 75 nt
Filed under: Patescibacteria group bacterium
Lineage: Bacteria
Description: tRNA-Met
Rfam family: tRNA
About the family: Transfer RNA (tRNA) molecules are approximately 80 nucleotides in length. Their secondary structure includes four short double-helical elements and three loops (D, anti-codon, and T loops). Further hydrogen bonds mediate the characteristic L-shaped molecular structure. tRNAs have two regions of fundamental functional importance: the anti-codon, which is responsible for specific mRNA codon recognition, and the 3' end, to which the tRNAs corresponding amino acid is attached (by aminoacyl-tRNA synthetases). tRNAs cope with the degeneracy of the genetic code in two manners: having more than one tRNA (with a specific anti-codon) for a particular amino acid; and 'wobble' base-pairing, i.e. permitting non-standard base-pairing at the 3rd anti-codon position.
Source: RNAcentral
AGCAGCGUAGAGCAGUGGAAGCUCGCCAGGCUCAUAAUCUGGAGGUCGCUGGUUCAAUUCCAGCCGCUGCCACCA